CCAAUAGCGUAUAUUAAAGUUGUUGCAGUUAAAAAGCUCGUAGUUGAACUUCGGGGUUUGCUCAUUGGUCAGGCUUAAUUGUCUGUACUGGUGGGAUAAAUCUCUACCUUCUGAGGAACUUUCAUGCCAUUUAUUUGGUGUGAUGGGAAAUCAGGACUGUUACUUUGAAAAAAUUAGAGUGUUUAAAGCAGACUAACGUCUGAAUACAUUAGCAUGGAAUAAUGAAAUAGGACGGACUGAUUCUAUUUCGUUGGUUUCUAGGAUAACCGUAAUGAUUAAUAGGGAUAGUUGGGGGCAUUAGUAUUCAAUUGUCAGAGGUGAAAUUCUUGGAUUUAUUGAAGACUAACUACUGCGAAAGCAUUUGCCAAGGAUGUUUUCAUUAAUCAAGAACGAAAGUUAGGGGAUCGAAGACGAUCAGAUACCGUCGUAGUCUUAACCAUAAACUAUGCCGACUAGGGAUCGGACGAAGUUAAUUUUAUAAUGACGCGUUCGGCACCUUACG
Molecule: ribosomal RNA, 502 nt
Filed under: uncultured Glomeromycotina
Lineage: Eukaryota; Fungi; Glomeromycota
Description: partial small subunit ribosomal RNA
Rfam family: Eukaryotic small subunit ribosomal RNA
Source: RNAcentral